This 22-nucleotide small nuclear RNA is filed under the name Arabidopsis thaliana (thale cress). Its description in RNAcentral is "snRNA_17582". The record is from RNAcentral. Lineage: Eukaryota; Viridiplantae; Streptophyta; Magnoliopsida; Brassicales; Brassicaceae.
AGGCGGUUAGCCUCUCUAUACA